CGGUAGCGUGUCCGAGCGGCCGAAGGAGCUCGCCUCGAAAGCGAGUGUGGCGCAAGUCACCGAGGGUUCAAAUCCCUCCGCUACCGCUGU
Molecule: transfer RNA, 90 nt
Filed under: Streptomyces turgidiscabies Car8
Lineage: Bacteria; Bacillati; Actinomycetota; Actinomycetes; Kitasatosporales; Streptomycetaceae
Description: tRNA-Ser
Rfam family: tRNA
About the family: Transfer RNA (tRNA) molecules are approximately 80 nucleotides in length. Their secondary structure includes four short double-helical elements and three loops (D, anti-codon, and T loops). Further hydrogen bonds mediate the characteristic L-shaped molecular structure. tRNAs have two regions of fundamental functional importance: the anti-codon, which is responsible for specific mRNA codon recognition, and the 3' end, to which the tRNAs corresponding amino acid is attached (by aminoacyl-tRNA synthetases). tRNAs cope with the degeneracy of the genetic code in two manners: having more than one tRNA (with a specific anti-codon) for a particular amino acid; and 'wobble' base-pairing, i.e. permitting non-standard base-pairing at the 3rd anti-codon position.
Source: RNAcentral